GUCCCUUUAGGGACAUUCGAUAAAAUUGGAAUGAAAUAAAGAAAAUUAGCAUGGUCCAUGCGUAAGGAAGACAUGCACGAAUUGAAAACUAGUCCAAAUUUUA
This is a non-coding RNA of Brassica rapa (field mustard), 103 nucleotides long. The record is from Rfam. Lineage: Eukaryota; Viridiplantae; Streptophyta; Magnoliopsida; Brassicales; Brassicaceae.